RNAcentral lists this ribosomal RNA (254 nucleotides) under uncultured bacterium. RNAcentral's name for it is "partial 16S ribosomal RNA". It matches the Rfam family "Bacterial small subunit ribosomal RNA", at positions 524 to 776 of the family's 1533-position model. The record is from RNAcentral.
GACGAACCGUGCGAACGUUAUUCGGAAUCACUGGGCUUAAAGCGCGUGUAGGCGGGUCGGCACGUCCGUGGCUGAAAGCCCCCGGCUCAACCGGGGAAGUGGCGCGGAUACGGCCGAUCUGGAGGGGGGUAGGGGAGACUGGAAUUCCUGGUGUAGCGGUGAAAUGCGCAGAUAUCAGGAGGAACACCGAUGGCGAAGGCAGGUCUCUGGGCCAUAACUGACGCUGAGAAGCGAAAGCAUGGGGAGCGAACAGG